Molecule: ribosomal RNA, 404 nt
Filed under: uncultured soil bacterium
Lineage: Bacteria
Description: bacterial SSU rRNA
Rfam family: Bacterial small subunit ribosomal RNA
Source: RNAcentral
AGAUUGAACGCUGGCGGCAGGCCUAACACAUGCAAGUCGAGCGGUAGAGAGGUGCUUGCACCUCUUGAGAGCGGCGGACGGGUGAGUAAUGCCUAGGAAUCUGCCUAGUGGUGGGGGAUAACGUUCGGAAACGGACGCUAAUACCGCACACGUCCUACGGGAGAAAGCGGGGGACCUUCGGGCCUCGCGCCAUUAGAUGAGCCUAGGUCGGAUUAGCUAGUUGGUGAGGUAAUGGCUCACCAAGGCGACGAUCCGUAACUGGUCUGAGAGGAUGAUCAGUCACACUGGAACUGAGACACGGUCCAGACUCCUACGGGAGCAGCAGUGGGGGAAUAUUGGACAAUGGGACGAAAGCCUGAUCCAGCCAUGCCGCGUGUGUGAAGAAGGUCUUCGGAUUAGUAAAG